UUGACUCUUAGUCAAUGGGUCUUAAAUUAUUCUUGAAGGUCCUUGAGAAUAUGUUUUAUGUAAAUUAUGUGCUCUAUUGGUAAGAACUUUGAGACGUGAUUUGAUAAUUGGCCGCAUACGAUGAUAGUUCAUGAUGUCUUGAUGUUCAUACGAGGGAGUUGUAGCGCGGACCUAAGGUGAGUAGGUCUUUUCUCUUCUAUCAUAUAUAUACGUAUAUAAGAUUAACAUCUCCACAAACGUUUAUAAAUUGAUUAUUUCAUAUAAUUACUGUGAAUGCUUUGAAUUACUAAUGUGAACUACGGAUGGCUUGAUCCCUGUUUAGGGUACGUAGGCAGUCUAACGAGACGUUAAAUGCAGCCAUACAAUAAUUGAGACAAUAGCCUUGUUUAGGGAAUUGAGUAGUGUGAGAGACAUUGGUGGAAAAUAUGAGAUUUAACCUUAUGAUUUGGUGGUUAAAUAUUGGUCAUAAAUCAAUGUGUAAAGAAUCAAGAAUUUGAAGUAAAGAAGCGUAAGUAAUGAUAAUUAAUUAAACUAGUGUCUAGUUGGGCUUGUCACCGAUAAUUAUUCUCGAAAAUAAAUAAUUCGGGAGUAGGGUGUUAUAGUUCAUGCAUUUUUAUGCCACAUUAUAUAUAUAUAUA
This 638-nucleotide long non-coding RNA is filed under the name Malus domestica (apple). RNAcentral's name for it is "long non-coding RNA (MDOM_LNC003583)". Lineage: Eukaryota; Viridiplantae; Streptophyta; Magnoliopsida; Rosales; Rosaceae. The record is from RNAcentral.